Molecule: long non-coding RNA, 202 nt
Filed under: Homo sapiens (human)
Lineage: Eukaryota; Metazoa; Chordata; Mammalia; Primates; Hominidae
Description: non-protein coding lnc-IGF1R-6:1
Source: RNAcentral
CAUCUUUCUCAAGAGAGUGUGUGUAUGUGUGUGCAUUUCACUCCAGCCUGGGUGACAAGAGCGAAACUCCACCUCAAAAAAAAAAAAAAGCUACAAAUUGGACUCACCAGCUGCUACUGGAAUUGACUGGACCUGCUAGGGUGAAGGAGUGUGGCUGCAGAGACAUUGACAAGAACAGAAAGCCAAGAGAAAUAACGAAUCC